CCUCACGCUUUUAUAUUUUAAAUUAAUUACCUUCCUAAUUCUAGUUUCCUAACCCCUAUAUAAACCCAUCACUUCGAUCCCCUCUUAACUCAUUGCAAGUGUACAGAGCUUCAAACAUGGGUCGCUGGUUACCUCUCCUCUCCCUACUACUCGUUGCCGCAGCAGCAACUGCACAUGCAACUUCACCUGCACAAGUUUAUUGGCGUUCCAUCCUACCUAACACUCCUAUGCCAAGCGCCAUUAGCAACCUCCUAAGCUCUCGUCUCUCUAUCUCUCUCCUUUUUGACCGAAAUUUGUAUUAGAUUGUUUUGAGAUCAUUUUUUUAUUAAUUAUAUUUGUUUUUAAAAUAAUAAAAUAUUAAUUAGAGCGGCUGUAAGCCCCUACGUUCCAGAAAUAUUUUUUUUUGUUUU
This is a long non-coding RNA of Ananas comosus (pineapple), 410 nucleotides long. RefSeq lists it as uncharacterized. Lineage: Eukaryota; Viridiplantae; Streptophyta; Magnoliopsida; Poales; Bromeliaceae. The transcript has 2 exons. The record is from RefSeq and is a predicted model, not a curated record.